UGGGGAAUAUUGCACAAUGGGCGCAAGCCUGAUGCAGCCAUGCCGCGUGUGUGAAGAAGGCCUUCGGGUUGUAAAGCACUUUCAGCGAGGAGGAAGGUGGUGAGCUUAAUACGCUCAUCAAUUGACGUUACUCGCAGAAGAAGCACCGGCUAACUCCGUGCCAGCAGCCGCGGUAAUACGGAGGGUGCAAGCGUUAAUCGGAAUUACUGGGCGUAAAGCGCACGCAGGCGGUUUGUUAAGUCAGAUGUGAAAUCCCCGGGCUCAACCUGGGAACUGCAUUUGAAACUGGCAAGCUAGAGUCUCGUAGAGGGGGGUAGAAUUCCAGGUGUAGCGGUGAAAUGCGUAGAGAUCUGGAGGAAUACCGGUGGCGAAGGCGGCCCCCCUGGACGAAGACUGACGCUCAGGUGCGAAAAGCGUGGGGCAGCAAACAGGAUUAGAUACCCUGGUAGUCCACGCUGUAAACGAUGUCGAUUUGGAGGUUGUGCCCCUUGAGGCGUGGCUUCCGGAGCUAACGCGUUAAAGUCGACCG
RNAcentral lists this ribosomal RNA (529 nucleotides) under uncultured bacterium. RNAcentral's name for it is "partial 16S ribosomal RNA". It matches the Rfam family "Bacterial small subunit ribosomal RNA", at positions 355 to 871 of the family's 1533-position model. The record is from RNAcentral.